This 4178-nucleotide small RNA is filed under the name Rattus norvegicus (Norway rat). RNAcentral describes it as "uncharacterized LOC102550786". The record is from RNAcentral. Lineage: Eukaryota; Metazoa; Chordata; Mammalia; Rodentia; Muridae.
UACCUGCCAAAGGUCUGUUUACCUGACCUUUAUCUCAGCCUCUGGAAACAUGUUUCCUAAGUCUGUUAGUAGGCACGAGAAGCUGCCUUCUUCCUGUCCACUGCCAAGAGUAUCUGCCUUGCAAAAGGCUUUGGGCCAGAUCAUCACCUUGCAGAACCUGCUUCACUGGGAAAGAUGCCGGGCAGCCUUGGGGGAGCCGUAGGUGGGAGCAUCAGCAAAGGCCAUAGGAAAUGUUCUCUCAAGAAGGGCCACAGAGAAAAAGAAGAGCUUAGCUGCUUUCCAGACUGUCCUGGCUAUGAGGACCCGUGAGUCCCCAACUCUGCCAUCUAUCUUGUCAAGUUUAAUGAAGCCGCUUCCUAACAUCCUUACCUGCUGUUUGUAGAAAAGGCUACCGAAUCCCUCUCUCUACCAUGAACUUAGCUCUUGAUGUACUUUAACUGACGUAAAACAGUAACACAGAAGCACUGGAUGUGUGGUCAGGGGAAGAAGGCGGUCCGACUGUGAUGCCGGAAUUCAGAGAAUUAACCAGAGAGAUGGCCGUCCCCGGAGGGCCUGUGUUCUCUCGGUCCUAUCAUGUUGCACGGCCACCACCACUAGCAGUACUUCACACGUUCUUUGUAUCACCUGUGUUCAGAGGUAGAGCAGUGACUUCUGGCCACCAUGCAUGAAAAGCAACCGAAUCAAAAUCCAGACAGCAACAAUCUCCUGGGAGAUGUCCUGUCACAUGUUUUUGAAACAGUUUCACUCUCGAGCCUGUGCGCAUCCGAAGUCUCCCAGAUGCUGAGGUUCCAGACAUGUGUUACCACAUUCAGCUGAGUGUUAGAUUGUGUUGUUGUUCUGAGUUUCUAGGGACUCUUUAUCACAGAAGUGAUAGCUUGGUCAGGGAGGAUCGGACGGAACACGGUCCCAGAGAAGAAAGACCCAAUCCCAAGGCCGUGAGCACUCAACAAAGUGUAGGUUCCCUCGGCAUCCAUUUCUGUGACUUGCAAAAAUUCUAGGCCUUGGUCUCUGAAUGGGUGACUGGGCCUUAGAGUUGACAUUUCUGAAAGAUUAAACAUCUGUUGGCCCUCAAAACCCAUUUGUCUUGCACACUUAGCUUUUAUGGCAUCUUACUCCCAAGAGCAACAUGUUACAAGCCCUGUGGCAGGAGGGAGAAGAUAGGCCAUGCAUGUCCCUUCUCAUUCUGUGCUUCAUUGAAUAGGGAUUUUUAUGCCAGUAUGUCUACAUCACAACUGGGCUUAUGCAUGGUGUGUACAUGAACAGAUUCAUACAACUACACACACCCAGAUAUCCCAUGCACACUGGAAACCUUUCCUGGGUAGCUUUGCUCAGUAGAAGCUACAGAUGAGGGCAAAUACUGCGGAGGACCUCCCUGCAGGUGCUGGGAAUCCCCCUGCCUCCUACCCCAACCUCCAUGUUGGCCUAGGUAUGUGUGGAGAAGAAACUGCAUCUGUCUGGCUUGGUCAGGAAAGCAGAGGCCAUGUACUCUUCAGGCAAACAACAGAGUCCAUCAAAUAGAGCGAGAAGAUUCUCAAACCAGAAAUCUUCAGAGAGGGUCCAUUGGCCUCUAAACAGCAUCGUGCUGUCUGGAAAGAGAGAUCCCUUAGAGAUGAUCCCUCUCAGCCAGAGCUUUGCGGGACACAGCCAGCCUUUUUAUUCUCUCUAAUGACUACCGACACCACCUUUUCCAGAAAGGAAGCAGAAUCUGAGGAGACCAACGUAGACCAGUCAUGAGCUCCGGUGCCUUCAAGCUCAGGGAUUGGAUCAGUCUGAGGGUCUAAGGUUCCACCCACUUCCUCGCCGGCUGAGGGGAGGUCCAAUUCAGGUCUAGUCACUAAUGGCCUGCACACUGGAACCAGAAGCCUUUGGGGGGCAGGUGUGGGGGCAGGGGGGAUACGACUGCCAUUUCCUCUGAGCUCUCCCCUGGUCUCCCCUGAACAUAAUUCCUGAGCAGUGACCUCCAGCAGAGUGUGAGGUGACUUCCUUCCAAGCAAUGACAGAGGGGAACGACAGAGGAAUACCCAGGCUUUUUGGUUCUGGGGGUCACAACGCCCCCAAACAAUCUGCACGUGGCUCUCGAGAGCUCAAGGACCAGUUUAAGAACUCAUGUGGUCUCUUCCUGUAAGCUGCUGUGGGAGAGUUACCAGAAGGGAGGCUCCUUGUGACUUCACUGUGGUGCCUGCUGAGGUCCGAGGGCUCAGUUGCCCACCCAUCCAGGAAAGCCUAACAUUCAGGUAGAUUCAUCUGUUAAUAGGUUAUGGUCAGGCAGCCUUUGUCUACCUAGUCUGUCACUCACAAUGAACAGCAUGACUUACAGCUGGUGUGAGCGCUACCAUCCCCUCCAUGGCCCCGAAGCUGCUUUUUUUUUUUUUCUGUUUGCUUUGCUGAUUGUGAAUACUUCCUUCAGAAGAGGAAAAUGCUGGCUGUGCCCUUUUGGGUGUGGAGGUGCCUGGAAACGCUGGGCUGUGAAUAGGCAGAUGACGUGGCGUGGGCUUGCAAAGGUUCAGGAUGUGUAAUGAGUGACACGCUGCCCUGGAGGCAGUCCUGUUAGCAUGUGUGUCGGAAAUGGCGAUUAACCCCGAGAGCCUAAUUCUGCCCUUCCUCCCCCUCCUUCUUCCUUUCAUUCAGUAAACAUUUAAAAGUGGUGCUGUGUCAGGCACUGUUCCAGGGUCUGGAAAGGACCAAGAGGAAGGGAAAGAUCUCGGCUAGAGGUGAGUAUGGAGGGAAAGUCAGUGUAGAGGGACAAGAACGAAGGUGUGUCACAGGUGCCCUGGAGAGCUUUUGGGUCCCACAAGGAAAAGUAUAAGAAGGUUCCAGAAAGAAGUAAGGCUCAGGUGGAGUGAGCACAGAAGGUGUCUGAAGGAAAACAGACCCAAGUAAAGUGGUUUAGACUUGGGUUAUCCCUUUCCUGGCACCACAGUGUUUUAGACAGAAGCAUGGUCGCAGUGUCCUCUUAAUGAGGUCAGUUCAAAACCAGGACAGGGCCCAGGAAGAAGGGGUGGCUGUCACAGCUGCCUGUGGCUGGCAAAGGCCAUGGACCCAGAUAUCUUUUUGUGUGCUCCAUGGGGAGCAGUCUCAAGCAGGCAGCAGGCCCUUUUGAAGAUCAUGGACCCCACUGUGAAGAUGGUUUUCAGUGCAGUCAACAUAGUGAUCCUGAGAAUCCAGGCCUGUGGAUACUUGCAGGGAAGUUGAAGUUCAGUGAACUGGUGAAUGAACGCCGUGUUGGAAUCCAGGAAAGCUGGGGAAGAAACAGAGGUAACCUCGGUUAAGCCCAAGGUUUCCCUUAGCCACCCUUCCACUCAAGGAAAAGUGGCUCCUACUUGGUGACGGUACCUUCUUGAGAGACACAAAGAUGAUUAAUUAAUGGAAAUUAACUUUAUGAAUAAUAAAUACUCAGUCGGAUGAAGUAGCAUUUCCAUCUGUCAGAUCUUCUGCUGUAGCCAUUUAACUACAGCUGGAGCGCCAGGAAAACCAUCAACAGAAAAAAAAAACCCACAUCAUGUUGCGUUCCGUUUAAAGUUGUAUCAAAGGCUCACUAAGCAAGUGGAGGCAUGAAAAGCAGCCAAACCCAGAAAUGUGGCCUUGAAGCCCUGCCUCACCUGCUGUCCCACAUGCAGCUGGUGGCUCACUCUGAACUCUGCACUGGUCUAUUGUCAGUCAAAUCCGAACAUGUCAAAAUGAGUCUUUCCAUUUACAUUCUACUCACAAGGAAAUGAUGGGCGUCCUUUUUACUGUGCAAACAGCAUGCAUGUUUUCUCGGUACCUCAGUAGCAUAGCCUCCGGGUGUAGACAAGCUACAGUCAGUCAUGUUUGUUGUAGAGUGACAGACACUGUGGAGUUGGUGUAUACUCUGGGGAAGGCUCUCUUCUGCUCCUCAAGGGGGAUCAACACAUUAUGUCAGACCCUACAGUGGCCUUGAAGCUUCCUUUCAGUCUCCUUGCCUUUCCGCAGUGCGUGUGGAAGAGGCACACGAUCUGUAGUUUCAUCGUGUGAACGUGAGACAAGGGAAUUGUGAAGGUUCUUCUCUCUCAUCUUGAAAGGUCGUCUCAGUGUUCUGCCUUCCACGCCUGCUGUUUAAGUUCAUACUCACCAGUACUAGGUGGUCUCACUGGUUCUGGACAACUGGAAAGAUCAGUGAAAUAAAAUAGGAAGUAUUUUGUAACUGAGUGAAAAAAAAA